CAAUAUUAUGCAAUGGAAGGUAAACUUGUACAUUUUAAUAUUGUCUCACAUCUUUGCAAUGAUCAUAAGCAUUUUUCAAGUCUCUGGUGGUGAAUCCAACCUUAUGUUCUGAUGAAUCAUUUCACUCCUUUUCUAGAAAGAAUCCUGCAGGUACUGAGAACACUAAAAUAACGUUCUAUUGAUGAUGAUGUAAAACGAUGAGAAUUUGGCCAAUUAUUUAAUUUGAUUUUUUAUAUUGCCUGUUACUUUCUCCACUGUUGUUUAGAGUGGAGUUCUUAGCCUAUGUUCUUCCAAGCAUGUUUGCCUUGAGCUAAAUGUAGUACCUGUGGGAUUUACAAUUGAAAGAUACACAGUAUGAUGAAGGCAACAUUGGUUCUUAAUGGCUUACUGUGGAUGGAUGCUAAGAUGUUCCAUAAAUGUACUUAAAUACUUUGGGUCUCAUUUGACAUAACAAAAGGUUUGUUGUAAGUGCAAUGCCUUUUGUGCCAUGGUGCAGGUGGGAGCUAAACACAAUGAUAAUAUCUAUAUUAAGAUAAAGUGGAUGAGGCAAAUGUUAAUUUUGUUGGUGGAUAUUUCAUGGUAGUCUAAUCAUAAGUGUGAGAAGAUUGGAUGAAAGAAACAGAUCAAGAGUCCUCCUCAUAGAUAUGGAAUUUAUUUUGUGUGAAGUCCUCAUCUUUAUGCAAACAUAUUUUUUUGUCAUCAAUGAUGAUUGUGGUUAACUAUUUAACUCUAUACAUGUAAAAGAAUAAUAUAUAUAUAAUUAAUUAAUAAACAGUCAAAUUUAAUUAAAAUAUUAUUUAAUUCAUGAUCAACAUCUCUGCAUCGAUCAGUGGACAAUCUCUCCUCUUUUUGCAUGAGGAUCAUCGACAAUAGUCGAUGGGCAAGGUAACUAAUGUUUGAAUUAUCAAGCGGACGAUGAGAAGAUAAUGAGGUAUAAUUGAUGAGAUAAAAAUAUGAUGAAAAUUAUGUAAAAGUACAGUAAGAAACGAUGAUCGAUAGAAGUUAAAUGAAUAUUAAAAAAAUAUUUUAAUUUUUUUUAAAUUUAGGCAAUUUCAUAAGAAAAUUUCAAUGUUUAUUAAAAAAAAAGAAUUCGUCCGAUGAUCAAAUCACUUUUCUCAUGAAAAGAGUGUUUUCUUAUGGAGAGAUAAAAUUAUAUAAAUAUUUUGUCGACCAUUUUAUCCAUAUUUAUGAUAUAAAUAAAUUAUUCCUGCAGUUUUGUAUUUCUUGUGCAUAGCGAAGCUUAUACACACUAUAUGUAGGAAUUAGGGUACCCCUCUCAAAUCUCUUUGUUCUCCCACAAUGGCGGCUCCGACGCUCCGCUCCGUACUACGCCGCAAUCGCCUCCUGCCCUUGUUCGAAACCUGCCACCUUCGAGAUCGCCUCUUCUUCUCUUCCUCUGUCGACGCUGCCGCCGUCACCGUAGGCGGCACCAUGUCUCCAGAUCCCCACUUCAUGGUGGAAUACCUCGUAAACUCCUGUGGGUUCUCCCCCUCCGAGGCAGCCAAGUUCUCUAAACCCCUUGCGCGCCUCCGAUCCACCGAGAAUCCCGACGCCGUCCUUAACUUCAUGAGAUCUCAGGGCUUCGACGGCGCCGGUAUCAGGAAGGUGAUAUCUGCGGAUCCCAGAUACUUAUGCUGCAACGUGGAGAAGAACUUCAGCCCGAAGUUUCAGUUCUUACGUGAUUUGGGCCUAUCGGAGUCGGAUAUCGUCGAUGCCAUCCUGAAGAACGAUGUUAUUCUGCGCCUCGACGUUCACCGUUCCUUGGUCCCCAAAUUGGAGAUGUGGGAAAGUCUCUUGGGAUCGAGAGAGCUCGUUCUCAAGCAUCUCAAGAAGACAACACGGUUUUUCCACUCCAGCGUUGAGAAGACAUUGCAUCCUAACCUAAAGUUCUUGAGGGAUGAGUGCGGCAUUCCUGAAGAAAGGGUCUCUGUCGUCUUGAGAAGUCGCCCACAUUUAUUCUCGCAGAAACCAGAGUCUCUCCGAGCUUUGGUGGUGAGAGCCGAUGAGCUGGGGAUACCACGGCAAUCUCGGAUGUUCAUGUGGACCCUUCAUGUUUUCCACAACGUAAGCAAAGAAAAGUUCGAGUCCAAGGGCGAGCUCAUGAGGAGCUUCGGGUGGUCGGAGUCGGAGUUUUCUUCUGCAGUCAUGAAAAAUCCCACCUUCUUAUGCAUCUCCCUCGAUAUGUUGCGCAGAAAAGUGGAAUUUUUUAUCAAUGUAGUCGGGUACACCCCUUCCUUCAUCGCCUCCCAUCCAAAUCUCUUGCUAUUGAGUAUGCAGAAGACGGUAAUUCCUCGGUUUCGUGUUUUGGAGAUGUUGAAUACGAAAGGCUUGUGGACUCGACGAGGCAAGUUUUUGUCCUAUGUGACAUUAUCAAAUACAAAAUUCAUGGAGAAGAUUGUUCUACCCUACAAAGAAAAGGUUCCUGAGCUUCUUGAUAUUUUGAGAGCAGGUGAGUGUGAAGGGAAAUGAGCCUUUUAUUUGGUAUCAGAGGAGGAUGAGAAGGGCUUAGCUGAUGGUCUAACUCACGUGUGAAUUUCUCAACAGGAGAUGAGCAGUGAUUCGGCACCUUUUUCCUUGACAACGAGCUGUCUUACAUCAACCACCAGCCUUGGCUACUGAGGUGCAGUCCAGUGAAAGAAUUAUUCCUUGGUGUCAUAUGGUAGUAAUGUUGUAAUUGGAAGGUCUAUGCAGUGGCCAACACAAAAUGUCUUCCAGUUUUACUCAUUAAGGUUCAUGGAAAAGUCUGUUCUUUUUUGCAAAGCAGUAAGCCCCUGGCCUGUUUGAAAUCUCUGAUUGAUGAAGGUAGAUUAUUCCCCUAGUUUGAGAUUUUGGAAAUAGAAUGCAAAUGGCUUCUCUAAAAUUCUAUUGAGGUGUGAGAUUCUUCUCAUGUGACAUGCUAGAUUGGCAUUGUUUUUGUCUUACUAAAUGUUUGCUUGAAUCAUUUUCUGAUUUUGUUUGGCACACUAUUGUUGGUUUGUAUGUGAAUUGCAGGUUUUAGAAAUUCUGCUCAGCAAUUCAACCGAGAUGAUUUUGGAUCUUAUGAACUUUUGGAUUAUGUGCAAAUUGAUUCCGAAUUGUCAUGGACAAAACUAUAAACGAGGUUUUGAUGUAAUGCUCAUAUAUGUCUGUGCAUUUUGGUUUUGUUCAUGCUUUGGAUAGCAUGUAAAGUGUUGACAAUAGGUUUAGUAGUCUCAUUUUCUUUGGUUUUGACGGCUAUCUUAGGCUUGCAAAUAAAGAUUGUGUCCUGUUGGCACUUUUGAGGAAUUCCGUUUGUAGUAGACCAUUUUGGACACUUUUGUUGUGCGAUCAUUCAAAGUUUUUAAGUCUGUCUGUAAUUUGCAUUGGCUAUAAAGUCAUUUGGAUCCCGAUUGUGAUAUUUUUUCUAACACAUUUUCUUUUUUGUAGGUUAUAAGGACCAUAGGAGGUUAUAAGUAGACCUUUUCGGAUGGAUGCGUAAGAGAGUUGCACGAUUUUGGUAAAACCAACUAAGUACGUGACAUAUGGUCUCAAAGCGGGAAAAUCACUUAUAAAAACACUUGGCAAACAAACGUGGGGAACCUAGCGGGGUUACGUUGAGAGUAGCCAGCAAGCAAGAUUGUUUGGGGGAAACUAACAUGGAGAUAUAGGAAAAAAGAAUCGCUCAGAAAAACGAAUAUCUGAGAUUGACAUUUAGAGAAAUAGCUAAUCCUUUGCUCAAGAGGCAUCACGAAGACAAGUAAGCUGGGAAGAAUGUGUAAUGCACAAAGGUUGGAAUGGCUGAGUUCGAGCUACGGCUCGAUAUUGGUAACCAUAAUAGUGUUCAAGGCAAGCGAGACGCUUGGUUAAGGAUGAGACAAUGCAAGAUGUAAUGAGUUAUUCAGCAACCGAAAGAGUUGUGAAAGGUUCACAAAGGUGAGGGGAAUUGUUAACUCGAAGAAUUCGGUACUAAGGGCUUGUAUGCGGACGAUGGAAUGUUCGUGGUCAUCCUAAGGCGAUCGAAACUCGGCACCAUGGAGCAUUGAAACUUUCUCAUCGGCAUGAGAAUGAUACAUCCGUAUAAGGUUGAAGUGUGCAACGAGUUCAAUAUGUUGCUAGGCCUUGGGGUGCAGUAGGGGUUGUAUUGAUGUGGAGUCACAAUCUAACAAGUGCGUUUGCGGGGGCAGAACAAUGCACAGUUUGUUCAGCAAGAUAGAGUAGUCUAAGAGGAUGGUGGUCUCUGAAACUUCCAGAGGGAAAGAUGCGAAGAGAGAAGUUGCUUCAUCGGGACAGAUACCUUGGAGGGAUUAGUCUCGGUUCUCUAGAGGGAGAAUUAUGUGCAACAGACCGUACAUAUUCAGGAGGAGUAUCUCAAAACAACAUCACAAAGCUUAACGGNNNNNNNNNNNNNNNNNNNNGGUGCCAAAGAUGAAGGGAGCUUCAAGGCACAUGCACCCUAUCUCGGAGAAGCAUUUGACAGAGGAACCAAGGCGACUCAACUUGCAGAAGCAAAGUUGGGUUCAUAAGGCUUUGGAAUGGAACAAGAGGACGCGGAGGUCGGUACUCUUGAAGAAUAUGCCACAAUACUGUCAUUCAAGUUGCCAUGAAGGAAGCGGUGCGUAGCGGAGAUUGUGUUGGUGGGGCAAAGGCCCAGGAUCUAGACAAUAGCGCAUUAUUUUCAACAAGGUCGGUGGACUUCAAGAGCUACUAGGCGACGGACUAUCCUAGAACGGUGCUUCAUUUGGGUGUGAUCAAAAAGCAGGUGGACGAAAGUUGAUUGCCAAAGAAGCGAACAUAAUCGAAGGUGGAAGAAGCCCUGCGAUGUGUUGGCAGAGGCCACACAAGAAGGGAUCACAAUCCGAGUUCAUCCUACAAUGAUCAGAAUGUAAUGGAGAUGCUACCAGGAGGCGACAUGGUGCAGCAGAUCGUGGUGGAAUAAUUCGUGACAAUGCGAUAUACACAAAACUAGUCCCGCGAGGGACUAGAUCAUACGAAGAUAUGAUUGGGAGCUCAACUUCGGUAAAUAAUACGAUGACAAGACAUCCUUGGUGUCUCAAGUUUAAGGACCAGAUACAACACUAGGACAAUUGAAUCACUGUUUGACAAUUAGAUAUAAUCAACAAUCCAACGUUUCAUGAGCGGAUCAAUUAGUGAACUCAUUCUCUAAUGAGCACCUGCGUUGUAUCCCUAGUGUCCCCACACGAGUAACUAUGAGACAUGUGGCCUCCGUUAUAUGGAUGGAUGUACAACAUCCUGGUCUAUUUGGUCAUCUCGAUGUCCCUCUCGAGUAACCUUUAACUCCAUCUCGAGUAACCUAUGACUGAGAUUAUUUAGGGUUUAUAUUUAAAAACGAAUCUGUCUCAUUAUCGUGAUCUUAUCACGAUCCAAUUUCUAUUGCAUAGAUCUAUAGACAUCACAAUACAUACAACAAAUAAUAUAAAGUGAAAAAAAUAUCAAAUAAAAAAUUAAUAAAAAAAUAUGUAUCAUGACACCCAUUCAAUCACACAUAUGAUUGGCUUGUAGGGUACCUAUGAUUAGCACGAAUGAGCACUCCCCCAAUAGUGAACGAAGAUGCUUCAUUCUAUAGGAUGAUUUUAUGUUCUCCGAAUAGGGAGAAAUCUAUUUCGCACUAGCAACAAUGGAUAGAGUGAUAUUCCUCAAAUGUCAAAGUAGGGAUACAUUUCUCCUAAUAGCGGAUGGAGGACAUCUAACAACCUACUAAUUCCUGAAAGAAAUCACCCUAUCUGCCCUUUUUAAGGAAACAAAAUCAUCUUAUAUUGAUAAUUUCCAUCGAGAUAAAAUAACAUAUUAAAACAUCUUAAUUUAUCUUUUAAAUAUUAUUAUUAUCAAAUAAUAUCAAUUAGUCUUUAAUUGAUUUGAAUCAUUAUUUAAUCGAUCUAAUUGAAUUAGAUUUAACUAUAACAUAAUUGAAUUAAUUUUUAAUUCUCAUUUAAUCGAUCCAAAAUCAUCUUGUACUAAUAUAAUUUAGAUUAGAUUAAGUUUAAUUUACGUUAAAUAGAUUUAAAUAAAUCAAAUCUAUUCAGAAUCACCUUCAAUCGAUUUAAAUUUAUCAAAUUAGAUUUGGCUUAAUUGAACAUAAAUAAAAUAAAAUAAAGGUAAUAAGUUAAACUUUAUAGUAAUAGGAUAGAUUAAGCUAACCGAUAUAUGCAUGACUAUGCAUGUACCUUAUCAUUAUGUUAGCUCGUAGCCUAUGGACUAAUCAUGUGCAUUGCCCAUGUUGGAUCGAAUUGAACUAGCAGCUAGGCUUAGCCUUUUGGUUGAGUCUAAUCUACGGGUUGUGGUUUAGCUUGUGGGCAGAGCCUAAGCUAAGAGCCUGAUUUACUAAGCAGAUUUCAACCUAAAUCUUAAUUAUUUUUUUAAUUUUAAAUUAUAGCAUCAUGAAAUUAUAAUCAAAACACUUAACUAUUACCAAUGAGUCAUUAAAACAUAAUAAAUAGUUAUAGAUUAAAAAUAUAUAAUUACGUUGAAGGGAAAUUAAUAUUUUUACUCAACUAUUAUACAAAUUUAAUCGAAAUUGAAUAUUACAACUAGUAUGGUGCAUGCAAAAUACAAAUUUUAAAAAUUAUUAUACUAUGAAUAAUUAUAAUAUAUUUUAAUCAAAAAAUAAAAAUUUAAGUACUUGAAUAAAUAGAGAAAAUAUUAGAAACUAUAUAUAGUAUGAAUAAUUAUAAUAUAUUUAAUCAAAAAAUAAAAUUUUAAACACUUAGAGAUAAAAUAAAAUAUUAAUUUUUUAAAAAAUAUAGAAGCGAAAGGAAACAUCUUAUUAAAUAAAAAGAGCCGAGCCCUUCAAGGUAAUAAAUUUUUUAAUUUUUAUAAUUCUUUAAUAUAUAUAUAUAAUUAAUAAAAAUAAUAUCACUAACUUAAAAUAUUGAGUAUUUAUUUUAUAAAUUUUAUUCAUAAGAAAAGAAAGUGAAUAAUUAUACUUAAAGAUUUGAGUAAAGAUGAAAUGGUCAAAUUAGUAUUUUAAGAUCAUUUUAUCCAUAUUUUUGAUAUAAAUAAUUUAUUCCUAUAAUUUUGUAUUUCUUGUGCAUAGUGAAGGUUAUACACACUACGGAUAAGGAGGGUUGUUGUAAUUAGGGUGCCGCUGUGGCUGCUCUCGUCCCACAAUGGUUGCUGCGACGCUCCGCUCCAUACUCCGUCGUAAUAGUCUUCUGCCCUUGUUCGAAACCUGUCGCCUUCGAGAUCUCCUCUUCUUCUCCUCCUAUGUCGACAUUGCUUUCGCCGUAUGCGGCACCACAUCUCCUGAUCCCCACUUCGUGAUGGAAUACCUCGUGAACUCCUGCGGAUUCUCCCCCUCCGAGGUAGCCAAGUUCUCUAAACCCAUUACUUACCUCCGAUCCACCGAUAAACCCGACGUCGUCCUUAACUUCAUGAGAUCUCAGUGCUUCAAUGGUGUCGGUAUCAGGAAGCUGAUAUCUUGGAAAGCCAGUUACCUAUGCAUGAAUGUGGAGAAGAACUUGGCCCCGAAGUUUCUUUUCUUACUCGAUUUGGGCCUAUUGGAGUCGGAUAUCGUCGAUGUCAUCUUGAAGAACCAUGUCAUCCUCCUCCUCAACGUUCACCAUUCCUUCGUUGCCAAAUUAGAGAUGUGGGAAAGUCUCUUGGGAUCGAGAGAGCUCGUUCUCAAGCAUCUCAAGAAGACAGGAUGGUUUUUCUUCUUCAGCUUUGAGAAGACAUUGCAUCCUAACCUAAAGUUCUUGAGGGAUGAGUGCGGCAUUCCUGAAAAAAGGGCCUCUCUCGUCUUGAGAAGUCACCCACAAUUAAUCUCACAGAAACCAGAGUCACUACGAGCUUUGGUGGCGAGAGCCGAUGAGCUGGGGAUGCCAUGGCUAUCUCGGAUGUUUGUGCGGACACUUAUGUUCUCCAAAUGGUAAGUAAAGAAAUGUUCGAGGCCAGGGUCGAGCUCAUGAUGAGCUACGGGUGGUCGGAGUCGGAGUUUUCUUUUGCAGUCAGGAAAGCACCCACCUUCUUAGGCAUGUCCCUCGAUAUGAUGUGCAGAAAAAUGAAAUUUUUCUAUCCAAAACCAAGCAUCGGUUAAAAUGAAUGUAGACUUGGAGGAGUGCCACAGAGGCAUAUCUACCGAUCGUAAAGAAUGAGAUGAAGAUGCGAGGUGAUGGAUAGUAGGGUCAUGGGUAUGGUAGCGUCAUGAUACCGCAAAGGCGGGACUUUCAUGAAGUCAUCGAUCCCUUGCUCUUAUAGAGGGAGAGCGCUUGGUCGUGAAAGGGAUCGGGAAGGUGGAGAAUGCAGAGACAAACAACAAUUACCGAGACAAGAUUGAAGGGCAGAGAUCAGGAAACUUCGUAAGACUGAUGUUAACCAUCUUCUCAUUAAGAUAGUUGAAAGUAAAUGACUUCAGGUUGAUGCAAGAGUGUUCAACCGAGGAAUAAAGUAGGCAGUACAUGGUGUUGUACCUUUGCAACUCAGUAGGAGUAGGCAACAAAGAUGAUGGAGAAGACGAGUACAAUCACAGUGGCGACCAAAACUAUUAGGGAUAUGCUCGAAGUUGGGGUGAAAACUUCUUGCAUUCCAGAAGUUCAAUAGCAUUGAGAAGGUGAAUUACAGUAGCUAACUCAACGUAAGGAGUACAAACACUUCGAAUGCUUCAUAAGUAUGAGCAAAGAGCAUGUGAAAGCUAGUAAUCAGCUCGAUGCAUGGAAUACAACCCUCGAGGAGGCAGGCGAAGUCAAGUAACCUUUGCCUUCUUAACUCUUAAGAGAAUGGGCGAAACCGAGUACUUCAAUUCUCUUAUCUAUCCAGUAGAGAAGCUCUACACAAGUUCAAAGACCCUUCGAAGAAAUCUAAUGGAAGACAAUAGUUGUCAAAUUCUCACCAAUGGUGAUCAGUGCCACUAAGAAUAGACUAUCCGUUUCAUUUCUUAACAGAAUGCCAAUUGAAAGCGGAAGUGGUGCGAACCUACUUGGAAGUGACGACGAAGUGGAAGAAGAAUCGAUAGACAAAUUUUAUAAAGGAAGGACCCAAAAAUUUUAAAGUUUGUGAGGCGAUGCUCGCUAAAGCUCCAACAAGCAUCCACUUAGUUCAAGCAGCACGAAGCAUUUGAGAGACGAGCGCAUACUAAGAAUGGUCUUUUCCUUCAUCUGAGGGAUCCACGGGAAACAACAGGAAUCAGCACAACUUAGUCGACCUCACACCAAAGUCAGAGUUAUUAGCGAGUUGAAACAGCAUGGCGGAUCAAAGCCGACUACUCAACAACAACGACGGAGUGCAGUUGGGAGCCAUGAGGCGCAUUGCAACUGGAGCACAAGAUUGAAGACUUAACAAAGGCGAGGAGAUGCAGCGUCUGCAAAGGUUUCGACGAGGAUGUUGAAAGAAUAAGUGGGGGAGAAUGUUACGGACAAAACUAUAAACAAGGUGUUUGAUGUAAUGCUCAUGUAUAUCUGUGUCUUUCGGUUUUGUACAUGCUUUGCAUAGCAUGUAAAUGGAUGAUAGUAGGCUUAGCAGCCUCAUUUUCUUUGGUUUUGGUGGCCAUCUUAGGCUUGCAAACAAAGAUUGUGUCAUGUGGGCACUUGCGGGGAUUUCAGUCUGUAGUUGACCAUUUUGGACCCUUUGCUGUGCGACCGUUUAAAGUUUGUGAAGUCUAUUUAUAAUUUGCAUUGGCUAUGAAGUGCUUGUUGGAAUGAUUACAUGUGGAUCCCGAGUGAGAUGCUUUCUCUACCCCGUUUUCUCUUUUUUAGGUCCGAAGGGACAAUACGAGGUUUCAGGGAGGUUGACCUUCGCGAAUGGACACACGAGGGUGCUGCACAACUUUGGCAAAGCCAGCUAAAUACCUGACAGAACGGGUAUUAGGUCUGUCCAAAUUAAUUCCGGAUGAGUUUUUGGUUGUUGGGUGAGUGUCAAAGAGCUAUGUUUCAGAUCAAGUUAUGCAGUAUGUAUAUAUCACCAAAGAUCACAAAAAGUUACAUGGAGUAGUAUUUGCUCUAAUGAUUUUAGUAGCUGAAAAAAAUUUAAACACCAAAGUGUUGUUUCUAUAAUUUGUUUUAAGUGAGUUUUUACGGAUUUAUGGAUUUGGAUGUCUUCAAGGAGGUGUUAUCUUGUCCGUUGAGCUUCUUUGCAAACUUAUUCGUGUGCUAAUUGGAAGAUUUCAUUUCUGUUUCUUUUAUGUAUUGUGAUAUUUGCAUGCAGGGGCCUCAAUGGAAUUUGCAAGACCAGUUGCUGUGUUGAUCAGGAUUACCAUUGGUACUCACCCAUUUGUUUUGCAUGUAAGAAGGUGUCACUUUGCUUGCAGGUUGAAUGGACUUCAGAGAAUCAAAACUUGAGUAUGAUAUCCUGAAAUGUCUUCAGCCUCAUUGGAAUUGUUGCUCAGGCAUUUCCUGCAUCAACAAACUCUAACAUGCAAACUAAUUUAUAUGCCUAAACAUUUUAAAAUUGACAAAAAAUGUGUAUUUCAAAUUUCUGUAAUUGUCUUUACGUUUUGUUGUAGAGUUAAUGAUCAUUACAUCACAAGGUUUUAUGUCCUGCAUUUAGUGCAGAAAUGACUACUUAUGAUUGUGCACACUAUCCUGACCCAUUCACAGCUACCUUGUUUCCGCCUCUCCAUGCAAUUGUGCAUAUUUUUAAUAUCACAGUUCAGAUAAGAUCAUAAGAAUUUCGAUCAUCGUUCUCAAUAUGUAAAACGUUUUCUGAAUCUUUAUAUUAGCUGUUCCAUCUUUUGCAGCGAAUUUUGUGUAGCUGUGCAUGAGUUCUUGAUCUUACAACUUUCAAGUGCAUCAAGAAUAUUGGAAGGUAUGCAAAAACUGCUUUUCUAAUUACAUUCUUGAUCCUGCCAAGCUUGUUAGUAGUGCGACAGAGUUUGCUAUGAAUCUUUUCUCUUACAAGCAGAUCAUUGGAAGUGAUUCUUGGAUUCUUGUUCAUAGUAUUAGCUGUUCCAUCUUUUGCAGCGAAUUUUGUGUAGCUGUGCAUGAGUUCUUGAUCUUACAACUUUCAAGUGCAUCAAGAAUAUUGGAAGGUAUGCAAAAACUGCUUUUCUAAUUACAUUCUUGAUCCUGCCAAGCUUGUUAGUAGUGCGACAGAGUUUGCUAUGAAUCUUUUCUCUUACAAGCAGAUCAUUGGAAGUGAUUCUUGGAUUCUUGUUCAUAGUAUUUGCUUUAUUUUUUAGUGUGUUGGUUUAUUUAAUCUGUUGUGAGGUCAGUACGACAGUUUCAAAAUCAUUUGCUUUUUAUCUCGAUUCUCAAUGGGCAUAUCGAGACUCGUAAUGGGCCUAAAUUGGGCUUUCACAUUGACUAGGCUUGCCCAAUGUUUUCGCCCAAUCGAACCCAUUGUGGACCCGUAAGCAGCCCAUUUCUUGUGGCGUACGCUCAACCCUCAUCCAAACUGCACCCACGUGUCUCUCUCUCGUUCACUCAGAGGCUUCGGAGGCCUCCGUUGCGCCCACUCGUCCCUGCUUGAUAGACCUCGACCCGUCCGCCGUUGGAUCAUCGUCCAUCACGUAUCCUGUCCGUCCAUUCCCCCCACUAACAAAGUCCUGUCUCCCGUCCUCUCUUCCCCGCUUCACCCAAGGAAAGAGAAGAGAGCCGAGAUGGCCACCCUCCGCCCGUCUCCCAUCGCCCUCGCCCCCGCCGCCCUUUCAUCCGUCGCCGCCGUCCCCGUCUCCUCCUCCCUCCGUCGCGUCCGCCUCCCCUCCGCCCCCCGCCGCCUCCCCUCACUCAGGGUCGCCUACCCCUCCUCCCGCCGCCCCCGCCGCGGCGCCGUUAUGAUGGAUACCGCCGCGUCGAGCUACGCGAACGCGCUCGCCGAAGUCGCCCGGUCCAACGGCACCCUGGAGGUGACGGUCACCGACAUGGAGAAGGUGGAGCGGGUGUUCGCCGAUCCGAAUGUCCAGUCCUUCUUCGCCAACCCCACGGUGGCGCGCGAGCGGAAGGCGGAGGUGGUGAAGGAGAUCGCCGCCUCCAGCGAGCUAUGCCCCCACACGGCCAACUUCCUGAACAUCCUCGUCGACAUGCGGCGCAUCGACAUCAUCGAGGACAUCGUGAAGGAGUUCGAGGUGUGCUACAACCGGAUCACCAACACGGAGGUGGCCGUCGUGUCAUCGGUGGUGCGGCUGGAGUCGCAAGACCUCACCCAGAUCGCCCAGACGGUGCAGAGGCUCACCGGGGCCAAGAACGUGAGGAUCAAGACGGUGCUCGACCCCUCCCUCGUCGCCGGCUUCACGAUCAGGUAUGGGCCAUCAGGUUCCAAGUUCAUCGACAUGAGCGUCAAGAAGCAGCUCGAUGAGAUCGCUUCGCAGCUCGAUUUCUCCUCCAUCACCCUCGCCUAGUCGACAGGUCAGCCUAUUCGUACUUACUCUUCCUCUUCCUUGUUUCAAGAUGCAAUCUUGUUGUGAAUCAUAAGGCACUUUGGGGGAUUUUCUUUAAAUGUUUGUGAUAGAUUUCUCUUCAGGCAAUCAGGUAAGUGUGAUUUCUGUUAAUUCUUCAUCAAAUCUGCUCCUUUUUUCUUCUUUCUUCCAAUUGUAAGCUAUGUGUCUGUUAUCAUUACACAACUAUGUGUUAGCAUAAUAUAGAUUGGAAGUUAAAUAUAUCAAGCAAUGAUCGUAAGAAUUCUUCAAUGUCAUGGAGAGUAUUGAAGCUGAAGUUGUUGCAGGAUCGUUUAACUAUUGAUUGUUGUUAGCAAGCAGUAUGUAAGAAGGACAUUGCAAUAGCAUUCUUGGCUUAAAAUUUGAUUUGCUAAUUACCUUACUUUUCACUAAAGCAUGAUUGUGCCCUGUAAGAUUUUUAAUCAAAAGCUAAAUGUUUCUCUCCCUUAGAUUGGUAAUUUUUGAGGUGUUAUUGUUAUGUGUAGCAAUAUUAUGCAAUGGAAGGUAAACUUGUGCAUUUUAAUAUUGUCUCACAUCUUUGCAAUGAUCAUAAGCAUUUUUCAAGUGUCUGGUGGUAAAUCCAACCUUAUGUUCUGAUGAAUCAUUUCACUCCUUUUCUAGAAAGAAUGCAGCAGGUACUGAGAACACUGAAAUAACAUUCUAUAGAUGAUGAUGUAAAACGAUGAGAAUUUGGCCAAUUAUUUAAUCCGAUUUUUUAUAUUGCCUGCAACUUUCUCCACUGUUGUUUAGAGUGGAGUUCUUAGCCUAUGUUCUUCCAAGCAUGUUUGCCUUGAGCUAAAUGUAGUGCCUGUGGG
RNAcentral lists this long non-coding RNA (13095 nucleotides) under Musa acuminata (dwarf banana). RNAcentral describes it as "long non-coding RNA (MACU_LNC006195)". Lineage: Eukaryota; Viridiplantae; Streptophyta; Magnoliopsida; Zingiberales; Musaceae. The record is from RNAcentral.